Molecule: ribosomal RNA, 106 nt
Filed under: Felis catus (domestic cat)
Lineage: Eukaryota; Metazoa; Chordata; Mammalia; Carnivora; Felidae
Source: RNAcentral
GUCUAUGGCCAUACCACCCUGAAUGUGCCCGAUCUUGUCUGAUCUUGGAAGCUAAGCAGGGUCGGACCUGGUUAGUACUUGGAUGGGAGAUUAUGUAUUGCUACCA